RNAcentral lists this ribosomal RNA (283 nucleotides) under uncultured bacterium. RNAcentral's name for it is "partial 16S ribosomal RNA". It matches the Rfam family "Bacterial small subunit ribosomal RNA", at positions 9 to 284 of the family's 1533-position model. The record is from RNAcentral.
GAGUUUGAUCCUGGCUCAGGACGAACGCUGGCGGCGCGCUUAACACAUGCAAGUCGAGCGAGAACCAGGCCUUCGGGCCUGGGGACAGCGGCGAACGGGUGGAGUAACACGUGGGUAAUCAACCCUCGAUACUGGGAUAGCCCGGGGAAACCCGGAUUAAUACCGGAUGGCCCUUUGGAUCCUCGGAUCUGAAGGAAAAGGUAGCUUCGGCCUCCGAUCGAGGACGAGCCCGCGGCGGAUUAGCUUGUUGGUGAGGUAACGGCUCACCAAGGCGACGAUCCGA